CUCAACAAAGGAAGUAAUAUGUUGUUGUUCAUAUCUUAAGAUGGGCAUCUUUUGUGAAAUGGCAAGUGACUAAGCUUUUGAAAUGAAAAACGACAUUUAAGCUUGUGAGCAUGAAUAAUUUGUUGCCAGAUUUAUAUCAUUGGGUUAAAUAUUUUGUUGCCAGAUUUAUAUCAUUGGAUUAAGUAUUUUGUUGCCAGAUUUAUAUCAUUGGAUUAAGUAUUUUGUUGCCAGAUUUAUAUCAUUGGAAUAAGUAUUUUGUUGCCAGAUUUAUAUCAUUGGAUUAAGGUAUGAAACUAAAAUGUUAUUAUCUAGAUUAGACCGUGUUCCUGGUUGAAUUUGAACUUUUAAAGGUCCAAAUCAAAUACCAAAAGGAUGACUCUUAAUUCUGAGGUUAAUGUCAAAGAAUUUUCCACUGAAGAGCCGUAGAGCGAAAGCGCUUUGGAAUACAUGUGAAAUCACUGAAAUAUUUGUAUGCUUCAAGUUUUAAAACACAUCUUUAUUUCUGGACCUAGAAUAUUAAGUUUCUGCUAAAGGCAUAUGUCUAUGACCUACGUAUUGCAGUUCUGUUUUAAAUUAUAUCAAGUUUUAGUCACAUAUAAGAGACCGGUAGCCUCUUCGUAGGGAACACAUAACACAAUACUGGAUUCAUCGAAUACCUUUCAUCUGGCACAAAAGCUCCAAUAUCUUCAGCAGGAUAUUUGUCGCAAAGAAACAAGUGUAGCGGUCAGACGGGUUUGAUCACCAGUGGACAGAGAACUCCUGACUAUAGACUAUAGAGAUUCAGGGGGCUCCGGGUUCGAAUCACGGUCCGGUCCCACUCGGAUCACUUUGGCCGAUUCCAUCUAACUAGAUGUAGGGUACCGGAGUCUGCCGAUUGGCCCGGUCCGUUGAACUUUUCCCUUCCCGUUACAUUUGGUGUCGUUGACCAUCGCUGGACUUGCAAGUGAAAGUCCUGCGAGGGGAAAAAGAAUCUGGAUAAUGCCAUCAAGGAAGGAGGAAUAUCGCGUUCAGAUAGCUCAGUUGGUAGAGCGCUUCAAGGGGCUAGGGUUUGAAUCCCGGUCUGGUCCUUUGCAUUUCCCUUUUCCGGUAACACAAGAUAGGAUGCAAGUGAGUUACGCGAAUUGAAAUGACACGCAAAAUAAUGUCUUACAGGUGAAACAUCGCGCAUGUCCUUAAUUAAGGACCAAAGAGCAUCUUUACUCUUUCUUGCUUUCAGUUGUCUUAUUUAACGCCAAAAUGGUGUGAGGGAUUAUAUUUUUCGUGGAAUCAAAUUACAUUGUAUCUCUUCAUUCCUUCAAUUGAAAGCAUGGACUAUUUUUUGGUCUCCAGUAGAAAAAUCACAAGAUAUUUCAACCUAUGGGAACAAGUCUUAACUGACAACAGUAAAAGAACAUACCAGAUGUAUUUUUAACUUGUUUACCUCUUAUUUUUAUUAAGCUUUCAACAGUUCAAUUAAUGUCAAUAUGUACCUUAUUACUCCAAUAUUAUUAUGGGGAAAAGUCCAAACUAUCAAAGCACUUAAAGUAUGGCAGAACUAACAGUUAAUGAGCAAAAUCCUCUAUCAGAGGAAAUUCUGUCUCUAGUUCUGCUUUCAAGCAGAGACAUAUAUACAUGUUCAUGCAGUGUUUAUACACCAAAAGGACAAAAUUUGAAAUUAACGAUAGUUGGUCUAGCGGAAUUUGAAGAUCAUCUGGUAUGACCUUGAUUACAAAUACAAAGAAUUGCGACACCCAGAUUUUGCGUGUCAAAAUACUGUAUAAACUCUUCAGGUGUUGUAUACGAAGUAUCACAUCUCAACGCGUCUCAUGAAAAUGAAAAGAACCCGUCCUAAACGUGAUCAACUACCAAGUCAGUCCGAAUUGUUGAUAUCGCAUGAAUAAUUAAGUGAAAUCACCUAGAGGAUUAUUUGUAAAGGGCGAAUAUAUACCUUUUACAUCACCUAUUCAAAGGAGUACGUGACGUCAUUAAAGAUUACAUGUAUAUCAGUUAACAUCAAUACCAAAAAUGGCACCUCACACUUUAAAAUAUUCUUGUGAGAUAUGAUCCAAGGCAAGGACUCCGUGCUAUAUAUGUAACGACCUAAUUUCUGUUCUAUUUCCUAAAUACAGAUAAAAUGUAAACGAUUUCAUUUCAUCCACCUUUAUUAUAACUUUCUGUUUUGUAGCCGUUACGUGUUCUAGACCGACACUAUUCAACGUGAACCUACUUGUAAAAAAAGGCAGCUGACGUGUCACCAAAAAUAAAAAUACAAUUACAACUAAAAUAUGAAAUAUAAUGCUUCAUAAAAUUCAGUAUAAAUACUACAAUCACAUUAUCUGGGACGGAGUGAUGGUGAUUAGACACUAUAUACAUAAAAAUCAUCAUCUGGUAUAAAAUCAAGAUGAUUUAAAUAUCACAUGUCAAUGGAAUAAGCAUUUGCAACACGAUAAAAAUAAUUAUCAUUCAGAUUUAACUAAAGACAAUCUGAGAUACAUAAAACUCCACCAAAAUACAUGUAGGAGCACUCAAUGACCUUGCAUACAAGCAUACACCU
This is a long non-coding RNA of Ostrea edulis (European flat oyster), 2533 nucleotides long. RefSeq lists it as uncharacterized. NCBI's taxonomy places the organism in Eukaryota, Metazoa, Mollusca, Bivalvia, Ostreida, Ostreidae. The record is from RefSeq and is a predicted model, not a curated record. The transcript is spliced from 2 exons.